This 118-nucleotide ribosomal RNA is filed under the name Gorilla gorilla gorilla (western lowland gorilla). The record is from RNAcentral. Lineage: Eukaryota; Metazoa; Chordata; Mammalia; Primates; Hominidae.
GUUGAUGGCCAUAUCACCCUAAGCAUGCCAGACCUUGUCUGAUCUCAGAAGCUAAGGAGGGUCUGGCCUGGUUAGCAUUUGAGUAGGAGAUUUUAAGAUCGACACACAACAAUUAAUU